RNAcentral lists this transfer RNA (72 nucleotides) under Puccinia graminis f. sp. tritici. It matches the Rfam family "tRNA". From Rfam's summary of the family: Transfer RNA (tRNA) molecules are approximately 80 nucleotides in length. Their secondary structure includes four short double-helical elements and three loops (D, anti-codon, and T loops). Further hydrogen bonds mediate the characteristic L-shaped molecular structure. tRNAs have two regions of fundamental functional importance: the anti-codon, which is responsible for specific mRNA codon recognition, and the 3' end, to which the tRNAs corresponding amino acid is attached (by aminoacyl-tRNA synthetases). tRNAs cope with the degeneracy of the genetic code in two manners: having more than one tRNA (with a specific anti-codon) for a particular amino acid; and 'wobble' base-pairing, i.e. permitting non-standard base-pairing at the 3rd anti-codon position. Lineage: Eukaryota; Fungi; Basidiomycota; Pucciniomycetes; Pucciniales; Pucciniaceae. The record is from Rfam by way of RNAcentral. RNAcentral also lists the same sequence under 1 other name.
GUGUACUUAGCUCAGUGGUCAGAGCAUCACUCAUGAAUGCUGAGGUUGUGGGUUUGAGUCCCACAGUACACA